AGAGUUUGAUCCUGGCUCAGGAUGAACGCUGGCGGCGUGGAUAAGGCAUGCAAGUCAAACGGUGCAGCAAUGCACAGUGGCAAACGAGGUAGUAACACGUAGGUAUUUCCCCUUUAGUCAGGAAUAACUUGUCGAAAGACAAGCUAAUACUUGAUGGUCUCUUCGGAGUAAAGAUUUAUCGCUAAAGGAAAAGCCUGCGGAGUAUCAGCUAGUUGGUAGGGUAAUGGCCUACCAAGGCAAUGACGCUUAGGGGACCUGAGAGGGUGACCCCCACCGAUGGUACUGAGACACGGACCAUACACCUACGGGUGGCCGCAGUCGAGAAUCUUCCACAAUGGACGAAAGUCUGAUGGAGCGACGCCGCGUGACUGAUGAAGUCCUUCGGGACGUAAAGGUCUUUUGUGAGGUAGAAAGUUAUUGAUCGCCUCAAGAAUAAGGGGUUGCUAAACUCGUGCCAGCAGCAGCGGUAAUACGAGUGCCCCAAGCGUUAUCCGGAAUCAUUGGGCGUAAAGGGUGUGUAGGCGGUUGUGUUAGUCUCUUGUUAAAGCUCUCGGCUUAACCGGGAAGAUGCAAGAGAAACGGCACAACUAGAGGAUGCGAGAGGUGAAUGGAACUCAUAGUGUAGGGGUGAAAUCCGUUGAUAUUAUGGGGAACACCAAAAGCGAAGGCAAUUCACUGGCGCAUUCCUGGCGCUGAAACACGAAAGCGUGGGUAGCGAAUGGGAUUAGAUACCCCAGUAGUCC
RNAcentral lists this ribosomal RNA (743 nucleotides) under uncultured bacterium. RNAcentral describes it as "bacterial SSU rRNA". It matches the Rfam family "Bacterial small subunit ribosomal RNA", at positions 8 to 796 of the family's 1533-position model. The record is from RNAcentral.